This 489-nucleotide ribosomal RNA is filed under the name uncultured bacterium. RNAcentral's name for it is "bacterial SSU rRNA". It matches the Rfam family "Bacterial small subunit ribosomal RNA", at positions 8 to 518 of the family's 1533-position model. The record is from RNAcentral.
AGAGUUUGAUUCUGGCUCAGGAUGAACGCUGGCGGCGUGCCUAACACAUGCAAGUCGAGCGAUUACUUCGGUAAAGAGCGGCGGACGGGUGAGUAACGCGUGGGUAACCUGCCUCAUACACAUGGAUAACAUACCGAAAGGUAUGCUAAUACAAGAUAAUAUAAGAGAUUCACAUGGAUUUCUUAUCAAAGCUCCGGCGGUAUGAGAUGGACCCGCGUCUGAUUAGCUAGUUGGUAAGGUAAUGGCUUACCAAGGCGACGAUCAGUAGCCGACCUGAGAGGGUGAUCGGCCACAUUGGAACUGAGACACGGUACCAAACUCCUACGGGAGGCAGCAGGUGGGGAAUAUUGCAACAAGUGGGACGAAAGCCUGAUGCAGCAACGCCGCGUGAGUGAUGAAGGCCGUUCGGGUACGUAAAACUCUGUCCUCAAGGAAGAUAAUGACGGUACUUGAGGAGGAACGCCCGGCUAACUACGUGCCAGCCGCAGC